GACGAACGCUGGCGGCGUGCCUAAUACAUGCAAGUCGAGCGAACAGACGAGGAGCUUGCUCCUCUGACGUUAGCGGCGGACGGGUGAGUAACACGUGGAUAACCUACCUAUAAGACUGGGAUAACUUCGGGAAACCGGAGCUAAUACCGGAUAAUAUAUUGAACCGCAUGGUUCAAUAGUGAAAGACGGUUUUGCUGUCACUUAUAGAUGGAUCCGCGCCGCAUUAGCUAGUUGGUAAGGUAACGGCUUACCAAGGCAACGAUGCGUAGCCGACCUGAGAGGGUGAUCGGCCACACUGGACCUGAGACACGGUCCAGACUCCUACGGGAGGCAGCAGUAGGGAAUCUGCCGCAAUGGGCGAAAGCCUGACGGAGCAACGCCGCGUGAGUGAUGAAGGUCUUCGGAUCGUAAAACUCUGUUAUUAGGGAAGAACAAAUGUGUAAGUAACUAUGCACGUCUUGACGGUACCUAAUCAGAAAGCCACGGCUAACUACGU
Molecule: ribosomal RNA, 496 nt
Filed under: uncultured bacterium
Lineage: Bacteria
Description: partial 16S ribosomal RNA
Rfam family: Bacterial small subunit ribosomal RNA
Source: RNAcentral